This is a non-coding RNA of Galeopterus variegatus (Sunda flying lemur), 934 nucleotides long. Lineage: Eukaryota; Metazoa; Chordata; Mammalia; Dermoptera; Cynocephalidae. The record is from the annotation of a RefSeq genome assembly.
AUGAGGCAACAGCUUCAUUUUACGGAUGAAAUUCCUCAGACUUCAGGAGCUGUUAUCCAGGACCCUGACCCUGCUGUGUACCAGCUGAGGGAUUCCAAAUCCAGCAACAAUUCCAUCUGCCUAUUCACGGACUUUGAUUCUCAAGUCAAUGUGUCUCACGUCUCAGAGUCUGAAACAUUCAUCUCAGAACAAACAGUGACGGACAUGCAGUCCAUGAGUUCCAAGAGCAACAGCAUCUUAGCCUGGAGCAGCAGAACUGAUUUUAACUGUACAAGCACCUUCAGUGGGAACAACUUCUACUCCAGCCUAGGGAUUCCCUGUGAUGCCAAGUUGGUAGAGAAAAGCUUUGAAACAGAUAUGAACCUAAACUUUCAAAACCUGUCAGUGAUUGGGUUCCGCAUCCUCCUCCUGAAAGUGGUUGGAUUUAACCUGCUCAUGACGCUGCGGCUGUGGUCCAGCUAAGGUCUGCAAGAUUGUGAGAGAGCUGGGCUCCCUCCUGCCUUCCUCCUCACCACACCUCCUCCUCUUCUUCAAGCAGAGGAAAAGGCUCCCACCACCCCUCUGGCCCUCACUGGCAAUGCCAUCAACUGGAUGCCACCCGAAUUUGUGAUGAAGAUUGCUGAGGAGCUGCCACACACUGCUGCCGCCCUUGUGUUCCCUCAUGGCUGCUUGUCACUGCCUGACCCUCCCCAAAGACCACCUCUGCCUUCCCACUGGACGAGGGAUUCCCCAGUGAGGGCUCUUGGACUCUAGCUCCUGGAGAAUGUUGUGAGGAGUUUGUAUUUUUAAAGUAGUGUUCAUAAAGAAAUAUGUACUCCCCUUUUCCCCAAGAUGUGGGGAAAAGUACCUCAUUAUCUAGGCCCUGCUAUGCUGUGCAUCUGAGCCACUUGUGUAUCUGCUGCCCUGGCUUCAUUAAAAGUGAUGUUGUAGAGCA